RNAcentral lists this ribosomal RNA (503 nucleotides) under uncultured soil bacterium. RNAcentral's name for it is "bacterial SSU rRNA". It matches the Rfam family "Bacterial small subunit ribosomal RNA", at positions 26 to 511 of the family's 1533-position model. The record is from RNAcentral.
AGAGUGAACGCUGGCGGCAGGCCUAACACAUGCAAGUCGAACGGCAGCACGAGAGAGCUUGCUCUCUUGGUGGCGAGUGGCGGACGGGUGAGGAAUACGUCGGAAUCUGCCUUUUUGUGGGGGAUAACGUAGGGAAACUUACGCUAAUACCGCAUACGACCUACGGGUGAAAGCGGAGGACCUUCGGGCUUCGCGCAGAAAGAUGAGCCGACGUCGGAUUAGCUAGUUGGAGGGGUAAUGGCCCACCAAGGCGACGAUCCGUAGCUGGUCUGAGAGGAUGAUCAGCCACACUGGGACUGAGACACGGCCCAGACUCCUACGGGAGCAGCAGGUGGGAAUAUGGACAAGUGGGCGCAAGCCUGAUCCAGCCAUGCCGCGUGUGUGAAGAAGGCCUUGGUUGUAAAGCUACGUUUUUGUACGGGUAACGAAAAGUCUUACUUUACUAAUAAAGAGGAUCAGUGACGGUAACCUAAGAAUAAGCACCGGACUAACUACGUGACCAG